AUCUUAUCAAGAGAGGUCGAGGGACUGGCCCGUGGAAACCUCAGCAACCGCCACAUAGUGGAAUGGUGCUAAUUCCAGCAAGAAAUUAUUCUUGGAAGAUAAGAG
RNAcentral lists this non-coding RNA (105 nucleotides) under Heyndrickxia ginsengihumi. Its description in RNAcentral is "Bacillus ginsengihumi SAM-I sequence". It matches the Rfam family "SAM riboswitch aptamer (S box leader)". Rfam says of the family: The SAM riboswitch is found upstream of a number of genes which code for proteins involved in methionine or cysteine biosynthesis in Gram-positive bacteria. The SAM riboswitch acts at the level of transcription termination control. The record is from Rfam by way of RNAcentral. Lineage: Bacteria; Bacillati; Bacillota; Bacilli; Caryophanales; Bacillaceae.